Molecule: transfer RNA, 67 nt
Filed under: Isolepis setacea
Lineage: Eukaryota; Viridiplantae; Streptophyta; Magnoliopsida; Poales; Cyperaceae
Description: tRNA-Thr
Source: RNAcentral
GCGUUUUUGGAUGGUAUAAAAAGGUUUUUGAAGACAAAAGUCAUCGGUUCAAAUCCAAGGAAGGCCU